RNAcentral lists this ribosomal RNA (1114 nucleotides) under uncultured bacterium. RNAcentral's name for it is "bacterial SSU rRNA". It matches the Rfam family "Bacterial small subunit ribosomal RNA", at positions 272 to 1387 of the family's 1533-position model. The record is from RNAcentral.
GGCAACGAUCAGUAGGGGUUCUGAGAGGAAGGUCCCCCACAUUGGAACUGAGACACGGUCCAAACUCCUACGGGAGGCAGCAGUGAGGAAUAUUGGUCAAUGGACGAGAGUCUGAACCAGCCAAGUAGCGUGCAGGAAGACGGCCCUAUGGGUUGUAAACUGCUUUUAUAAGGGAAUAAAGUGAGUCUCGUGAGACUUUUUGCAUGUACCUUAUGAAUAAGGACCGGCUAAUUCCGUGCCAGCAGCCGCGGUAAUACGGAAGGUCCGGGCGUUAUCCGGAUUUAUUGGGUUUAAAGGGAGCGUAGGCCGGAGAUUAAGCGUGUUGUGAAAUGUAGAUGCUCAACAUCUGAACUGCAGCGCGAACUGGUUUCCUUGAGUACGCACAAAGUGGGCGGAAUUCGUGGUGUAGCGGUGAAAUGCUUAGAUAUCACGAAGAACUCCGAUUGCGAAGGCAGCUCACUGGAGCGCAACUGACGCUGAAGCUCGAAAGUGCGGGUAUCAAACAGGAUUAGAUACCCUGGUAGUCCGCACGGUAAACGAUGGAUGCCCGCUGUUGGUCUGAAUAGGUCAGCGGCCAAGCGAAAGCAUUAAGCAUCCCACCUGGGGAGUACGCCGGCAACGGUGAAACUCAAAGGAAUUGACGGGGGCCCGCACAAGCGGAGGAACAUGUGGUUUAAUUCGAUGAUACGCGAGGAACCUUACCCGGGCUUGAAUUGCAGAGGAAGGAUUUGGAGACAAUGACGCCCUUCGGGGCCUCUGUGAAGGUGCUGCAUGGUUGUCGUCAGCUCGUGCCGUGAGGUGUCGGCUUAAGUGCCAUAACGAGCGCAACCCCUCUCCUUAGUUGCCAUCAGGUGAAGCUGGGCACUCUGGGGACACUGCCACCGUAAGGUGUGAGGAAGGUGGGGAUGACGUCAAAUCAGCACGGCCCUUACGUCCGGGGCUACACACGUGUUACAAUGGCAGGUACAGAGAGACGGUCCCUUGCAAAAUGGAUCAAAUCCUUAAAGCCUGUCUCAGUUCGGACUGGGGUCUGCAACCCGACCCCACGAAGCUGGAUUCGCUAGUAAUCGCGCAUCAGCCAUGGCGCGGUGAAUACGUUCCCGGGCCUUGCACA